CUUGCUUCUCUUGAGAGCGGCGGACGGGUGAGUAAUGCCUAGGAAUCUGCCUGGUAGUGGGGGAUAACGUCCGGAAACGGACGCUAAUACCGCAUACGUCCUACGGGAGAAAGCAGGGGACCUUCGGGCCUUGCGCUAUCAGAUGAGCCUAGGUCGGAUUAGCUAGUUGGUGGGGUAAUGGCUCACCAAGGCGACGAUCCGUAACUGGUCUGAGAGGAUGAUCAGUCACACUGGAACUGAGACACGGUCCAGACUCCUACGGGAGGCAGCAGUGGGGAAUAUUGGACAAUGGGCGAAAGCCUGAUCCAGCCAUGCCGCGUGUGUGAAGAAGGUCUUCGGAUUGUAAAGCACUUUAAGUUGGGAGGAAGGGCAGUAAAUUAAUACUUUGCUGUUUUGACGUUACCGACAGAAUAAGCACCGGCUAACUCUGUGCCAGCAGCCGCGGUAAUACAGAGGGUGCAAGCGUUAAUCGGAAUUACUGGGCGUAAAGCGCGCGUAGGUGGUUCGUUAAGUUGGAUGUGAAAUCCCCGGGCUCAACCUGGGAACUGCAUUCAAAACUGACGAGCUAGAGUAUGGUAGAGGGUGGUGGAAUUUCCUGUGUAGCGGUGAAAUGCGUAGAUAUAGGAAGGAACACCAGUGGCGAAGCGACCACCUGGACUGAUACUGACACUGAGUGCGAAAGCGUGGGGAGCAAACAGGAUUAGAUACCCUGGUAGUCCACGCCGUAAACGAUGUCAACUAGCCGUUGGGAGCCUUGAGCUCUUAGUGGCGCAGCUAACGCAUUAAAGUGACCGCCUGGGGAGUA
RNAcentral lists this ribosomal RNA (805 nucleotides) under uncultured bacterium. Its description in RNAcentral is "bacterial SSU rRNA". It matches the Rfam family "Bacterial small subunit ribosomal RNA", at positions 79 to 882 of the family's 1533-position model. The record is from RNAcentral.